GGGAGUUUGGCCGAGUGGUUAAGGCGUCGUGUUUAGGUACGGUCAAUUCAUUGGCAUACCAUAAAUCCCGCGAUGGGAAACCGCGCAGGUUCGAAUCCUGCAGCUCUCA
RNAcentral lists this transfer RNA (109 nucleotides) under Nemania serpens. RNAcentral describes it as "tRNA-Leu". It matches the Rfam family "tRNA". Rfam says of the family: Transfer RNA (tRNA) molecules are approximately 80 nucleotides in length. Their secondary structure includes four short double-helical elements and three loops (D, anti-codon, and T loops). Lineage: Eukaryota; Fungi; Ascomycota; Sordariomycetes; Xylariales; Xylariaceae. The record is from RNAcentral.